This 254-nucleotide ribosomal RNA is filed under the name uncultured bacterium. Its description in RNAcentral is "partial 16S ribosomal RNA". It matches the Rfam family "Bacterial small subunit ribosomal RNA", at positions 524 to 776 of the family's 1533-position model. The record is from RNAcentral.
UACGUAGGGUGCGAGCGUUGUCCGGAAUUAUUGGGCGUAAAGAGCUCGUAGGCGGUCUGUCGCGUCGGCUGUGAAAACCUGGGGCUCAACUCCGGGCCUGCAGCCGAUACGGGCAGACUAGAAUUCGGUAGGGGAGACUGGAAUUCCUGGUGUAGCGGUGAAAUGCCGCAGAUAUCAGGAGGAACACCGGUGGCGAAGGCGGGUCUCUGGGCCGAUAUUGACGCUGAGGAGCGAAAGCGUGGGGAGCGAACAGG